GAUGAACGCUGGCGGCGUGCCUAAUACAUGCAAGUCGAGCGAACAGACGAGGAGCUUGCUCCUCUGACGUUAGCGGCGGACGGGUGAGUAACACGUGGAUAACCUACCUAUAAGACUGGGAUAACUUCGGGAAACCGGAGCUAAUACCGGAUAAUAUAUUGAACCGCAUGGUUCAAUAGUGAAAGACGGUUUUGCUGUCACUUAUAGAUGGAUCCGCGCCGCAUUAGCUAGUUGGUAAGGUAACGGCUUACCAAGGCAACGAUACGUAGCCGACCUGAGAGGGUGAUCGGCCACACUGGAGCUGAGACACGGUCCAGACUCCUACGGGAGGCAGCAGUAGGGAAUCUUCCGCAAUGGGCGAAAGCCUGACGGAGCAACGCCGCGUGAGUGAUGAAGGUCUUCGGAUCGUAAAACUCUGUUAUUAGGGAAGAACAAAUGUGUAAGUAACUAUGCACGUCUUGACGGUACCUAAUCAGAAAGCCACGGCUAACUACGUG
RNAcentral lists this ribosomal RNA (497 nucleotides) under uncultured bacterium. RNAcentral's name for it is "partial 16S ribosomal RNA". It matches the Rfam family "Bacterial small subunit ribosomal RNA", at positions 28 to 507 of the family's 1533-position model. The record is from RNAcentral.